Molecule: long non-coding RNA, 6279 nt
Organism: Cynocephalus volans (Philippine flying lemur)
Lineage: Eukaryota; Metazoa; Chordata; Mammalia; Dermoptera; Cynocephalidae
Exons: 5
Source: RefSeq, a predicted model, not a curated record
CCUGGUGUAUGUCCAUGGUUCUUGGGACAUGAACGACUGUUUGUCCAGCCACACUGAUCAUCGACCAGGUUUUAAAAAUCAGGAGUGAUGGAGAGCCCUCCGGAAGGAGAAGACGAUGUGGCAGUGCGGGAGACAUAAAAGAAAGCCCGAUGCACAGGACGGUCACGAAGAGCUGGGGAAUGUUUGGGCAUAAAAGGAGGCCGCACGUCUUUGAAGGAUGGACAAACCGAGGCUCAGAGGAUCGUACUGGAAGAUCGACAUUGUCUCAAGACCUUGCCAUGAACAAAUGUUGGAAUUCGGAUUUCUACUUCUUUUUUUGAAAAACAGUACAAUAUUUGGUCUCCCGUGAGAACUGUGCUCGCUUGGUUCUGUAAAUGCUCAUAGCUUUGUCCUUCCUGAGCUCCACGACAAUCGCAUGCGGGGGGAAGGUACACCUAUUAUUCAUUCUCUAGACUGAGGACAAUUUAGUUAUCUUCCUGAUGAGGGAAAUUGAAGCUCUCCUAUUAUUCCUAAAGCCUACAUUAAAUUAAUUUCCCUGAAGAGUCCUACUGCUUAAUGGAAAAUUGCAAGAGUGGCCAGGCUUGAAAGGGGGAUCCAUGGAGCCCCCAGCUUGUGGAUCACUGACUCCCAGCUGAGAGUAAUGAAUGCCUCUCCUCACGACAGCAGUGCCUUUUUGUAUUUUCUGAAGUCUGAGCGUCUUCAACGAAUCUUCAUUGGAUGGACGUUCUUCCCUCCAGACAACAGUAUCUUUGACACAGGACACCCUUGGGAAUCCAAAGUCCUCUGUCCAAGUCACACGGAUGGGUGGGCAGGGGCCCUGCUGGGUACAAUAGCGUCUCCUCCUUCUCUCUGACAUGCUGGUUUGACAGUGGACCAUGUGUGCUGUUCUGCCAGGGCCACUCAGUCAUUUAUUCCACAGGCGUUUGCCGAGGCUGACUAUGUGCCAACCUGCCUCAUGACAGGGGGACCACGGCGACUAGAACAAGCUCUGCGUCUCACGGAGUCUACGUUCUAGUGUGGGAGCCACACGAGGAACUCACACGCAAGCCAGCGAGUGCGUGGUCCUGCCAGCCACGGCUCGGUGUUCUGCGACAAGCACAGCAAAGUAAAAGACAGAGAGUAAGAGCAAGGCCCGCGAAGGGCCUUCCCGAGGAAGUGCCACCCAGCUGCCCUGAGUGAAGAUCCGGCGGGCAGGGAGCAGGGCUGUGGGGGAGACUGAGCCCGCUCCCAUGAAGGACAGAUGGCCCAGAGCGCCGAACACCACCAGGAGCUGGGGACGGAGGGGUUCUGAGGUAGCCGGGGGCGCCCACGGUGAGGCAUGGACGCUCUGGACUCUCCCCUCGGUGGGAGCCGUGGAGGGAGCCGUGGAGGGCCAAGAGCAGCACAGUGACAUGAUGGGGUUUGUGUUUAAAGGGUCAUUGACUUAAGCAGAGGAUCCCCAUGGGGAGGUGGCCGGCCAGGCAGGAUGGUAACUUGGAUGGAGUGGGGAGGAUGGGGCCAGGACAUGGCCAGACUCGGGAUCUAUUCUGAAGGUUUUGCAGGCGGCAUCUGUAAGGGACUGGAAGUCAGGAAUGAUUCCGGGCUUUUGACCUGUACAUGGUGGAGGGACUUCCCAUUAGUGGAGCUGGAGCACUCUGGGUGGGUGGGGGAGAAGCAGAGAGGAUCAGAGGGUGGUGGGAAUCAGGGCUUUGAUUUUCUGCAUCUGGUUUGAUAAAUCUCAGACAUCCAGUGGAAAUGACCAGGGGGCGAGAGGGAAGUUGGGGCCUGAGAUGAAAGCUGAGACUCAGCCGUGGAGAGAUAGCAUGUGAAGUCCUGGACUGGAUGGACUUACCUGGGACAUUGGUGGAGACAGAGAGAGAAGAGGCUGAGGCCCAAGCUCUGAGGCCUGCAGCGCUUAGAGGCAGGGAGAAGAGAAGGAUCCAGCAGAGGAGAUAAGAAGGGGCAGCUGGUCUGAGCAGCCAUGGAAUCCUGCAGUGUAGUCGGACCUCAGUCUACCUGGGACUGUUGUCGCUGGGAUGGUGCACAGUUCCUUCUGUCUUCUCCUUCUCUUAAUGGAAGCACUGCCAUUUCUUAGAAGGUGAAAGUGGAUUUGCCUUCUAAUUUAAGAGUUUUAAACUGGGGGCUUGUGGGUGUGUGGAUGGGGAUUAGAACCUCUGAAAACGCCCUGCGUGGAAUGUGCACUUAUCUGGAUAGAGGGUGCCUAGUUUCCAAAGGAUUCUUAAGGCAAGGCUAGGGGAUAUUUCUCAAUAAUUUCUAAAUAAAAAAGAAACUAAAGUAAUACAUUUUUAGACUUAUCAAACACAGGGAGAGAACAAAUCCUUUCACCCAGAUUUAAACUUACAGAAACUUGGCAAAGUAAAAAUGAAUAAGGAAUCCAAGUACCUUAAAAAUAUCCCCACUGGGGAAGGCAAAAGUCAACCCCUGAAGCAGAGAAAUGCAAACCAGCCAGUGUGCAAAGGGCACUUUCCACCACAUAUCAGUGCACAUCACUCACUGCUGGUGGGAGAGUUGGAUGAUUGCCAAGUAACUUAUACGAAGGACCAAGCUGCGUCAAUAGUGAGAUCUCAAAUUGAAUAAGAUCGUGUGAGCAAAAAUAAUGGAAUCAUUUCUUACUGAGAAGACUCUGGAAGGGAUCUUAUGGACUUUGUUCUAUAGCUACUACAUUCCUCUUUAAUAUCAUCAUCAGGGCUGAGACUGGAGGGGCAGACGAUUGUUAGUUAGGGUUCCUUAGAAACAAAGCCUGACUUGUGUUUUGGAUUGCUAUUUGGCUUGUAUGCAUUCACACAUUUAAUACUUCAAAAGAGACAAAGAUUAUGGGAGAUAUUUUUAGAACCAGAUUCAACCAAUAUGUGUUUUCCUGUUGGAAAGUGCUCUUGAUCAUGCCAAGUCUACUUGUAUGAUUUUUUUUUUUUUCCCACUGCAGGGCAUAGAGAAUGUUUAUAGUUCCUUUUGUACUAAAACAUCAUGAUUACAAGUAAUCGCAGUGCAGUGGGGUAGCAGUGCCCGUUUCAAAAUGGUCCUUACCUUCAGGACACAGAGAGUACCUCCUAGUUUCCUAACAGAGCAAAAAAAAAGAAAGAAAAAAGAAAAGAAAAAAACAAACAAACAGCCAAGUCUACUGCACAAGGGGUAACCAGAAAGUCUAGCUCCCUUCAAAAAUGUUAUUUCAAAAGAAAUGAGGUUGGCCGAGCUUGGGAAAGGCCUUCUUUCUGGACCUGAAAGAGAAUAUGGUGUCUUGCGAGCUCCCCAGCAGGCCCCAAGGGGAACACUUGAGCAGGACAGACAGCAGCGCCUGGAGACUUUUUCCCACCUUGGUUCCCUCCGUUUAGUUGGGAUGCCGCUGAUCUACAAGCUGUGGUGUACUGAGAUGCUUCCGGGCCCUGAAUAUUUAGUGGACACAAACUGACUUGCUGUGAAUAGGAACUUGGUCAAAGUCAGUUUUAGUUUGCAGAAAGCAAAGGCUCCUUAGAUCUAGAAGUGUCACAUUUUGGACUAACUUCGGCCAGUUGGUAAGAUUCUAGAAAAGGGAAUCCUUCAUUAAGGGAAUUGUUUAAAAAGCUCUUGAGAUUUUCUGACUCCAUUUAAAAUCAUAUUGCAGAGUAGAAAUUUAAAUUUAGAAAAAUGUUCUUGGGCUAUUUUCCCAGGUACAUUACUUCUUUACUGUAAGAUCAGUCUUAGGGCUUCCCAGCCUCUGCCUGCAAAGGGCUAGUGAUAAAUAUCUCAAAAUAGCCUAAAGAAGUAAGAGACACUGGCUGUUGAAACAGACUUAAAAUUACUCUGUUUUAGCCUCUCUAAAUGUGCACUCUGAGAUGUCCCACGACCCACACCAAAAUUUCUCUGGAGAUCUCAUACAUGUAAGCCUCAGAAGGAUAUAAGGGUUUCUUUGUUUAAUACAUCUUCAGUUUUGAAAAUAACAUUUUUAAGCAUGCAACCAUUUCACAGAGUUUUUGAACUUUGUAUUUAAGCCCGAUGUUUCUCAGAUGUAGUCAGGCCAUAGAAAUUAGGUGUUGUUCUUCUGGUACGAUGGGCAGGGGAAGCCACUGUCACCAUGGGAAUGCACCCAUGGAGGUGACUUCCAGGAUGGUGAGUGGGCUGUGACAGUCCUGGUGUCUUUCUCACCUGGGCCUGUGGGAUAACUACAUCCCACGCCUGUGAGGAGUCCAGAGACCAUCCCCCCAGCCCACGGGGUCUCAUCAGACAGGUGAAAGCCAGGACCUCCCUGGGACCACACUUGGUUGGGGGUCCUGCUCACCACAGGCACCAGGCAGCUGCUUCCGCAGGAGCAUCCUCCUGUGCUCCUGCAUGUCUGGUGACCCCUCAGAGCCCUUUACAAACAUGCUAUCUUCAUGCGAUGCUUGUAAAAAACCUGCAAGGUGGACUUUAUUGAGCGUUUUGGAUGAAGUUGAGUUUUAGAGUUUAUGUAACUUGCCCAAGGCCACAAAGCAACUAGUCAGUGGUGGAAAAGAAACUUCAAACACAGUCCUGCGGGUUCUCACUCCUGUGUUGUCACCACUGUGCCAGCGUAUCCAUCAUCAGGCCUUUGCAGCCACCUGGGGAGCAGAGGCUGCUCUACAGGUGAGGAAACCGAGUCUAAGUGGCUUGCUCCAGGCUUCAAGGCUCCUGAGUCAUGGGCCCAGUGUUGCCCCCAGAUCCUGUGACUCUGAUGUCCCGGGUCUCACUUGUGGCUUUCCUGACUUAACUGCGACACCUGAGUGAUGUCAAGUACAUAUAACACAGUCAAAAGCAAACAGACAAAUAAAACCCUUACCUAACACACUGGUGCUCAGUAUUACCACUUUUCAUUUUAUUCCCUUAGAUAUCAUUGAAAGGAAGUUUCAAAGUACACAUGUAGCAGGUGAAAGAAGCCACUGUCUUGCUCAGAGAUCUGAAACCUGAUGACAUCUGCACCUUCUCUUUUGAGUUAUCAGAUAUUAUUUGGGAGGUGUAGAUGACAAAUCUCAGGUAGGUGACAGUCAGAAAAAUCAGGCAAUUCCCUAAUUCUAUACUAGCAAAACAACAAAAAUGUUUUUUUUUUUUUAAUCUCCAGAGAACAUGGUACUAUCUAUGUAGUCAGUUUGCUUUUGUGCAAAAUUUUCUCCUUAUUACAAAGAACCCACCAUUGCCAUAUAGGAAGCACCAUAUUGUCUGAGGAGUUUUCAAAUAUACGUUUAUUUGCAGGGGUAGAAACUAGUCAUCCUUCAUGUGUUGUUUCUCUUUAAAAUGAAAGUUUGAGUAUCAGAAGCCAUACUAGCACUUUACAUAGAUUACCCCUGAUGCUUACCAAAUUCCUGCAGGUAGGGGCAUCGCUUUACAGCUGACUGAGGCUCAGAGAGGUCAAACAACUUGCUGAAGGCAGCACAGCUGCUAAGUGAGAGCUGGAAAUGAAGACUGAUGUUUUAAUUCCAAGUCAAAUUAGGGGUCUUGGCUAAGUAGCUGGGUUUUCUCACUGCUCCUACACCAGGCAAUUUUCAUGUGUAUGACUGUGAGAGACCAGGCCUGCUGCUGUGUGUCCUAGCAGAACCGGGGAGAAGCCAUCCCAGCCCAAAUUCUCUAGGGCGCCAGCAGGCCACGGUUUUUCACUUGAUCUUAGCCAAAAGGCCGAGAAGCGAUAGGCCACGGUUUUUCUAACCAAUAGUAUCAUGGCCUUUGGUGUCUCCUUUGAUCACAUCGCAGAAGCCAGACCACAGCUGGUGGGUGAGAGUGAGCAUCACGGUCUGGAGGGAAACUUGCCUUCAUCUGUGGAUGUCCACUCCUUGCUGGUCUUUUUAUAUUAUACAGGAAAUAUUAUACAGGAAAGUUCACUUGUCCUACCUGAUCAUGCAUCUCCGUUUAUCCUAAGAAAUGCUUGCAGAAACUAAGCAGUGGUGUCUAAAUGCUAAAUUUCGUGCACUGAGCCGGUAAUAAGGUAAAGUGAAUAACGCACCCAUUUUCAACGUCAGCAUUUGCCUUUGGAAACUUGCACCUUAAAUAACCAGGGAUGACAGAUAAUCUUGAGGCCACAGCUCAGUGAACGAGGGACACAUUUCACUUCACUUUCAUGUGGAAACUGUGCUUUGCUUUGCUACAGAACUGAGCUACUUUAGGCUGUGCAUUUCUGGGCAGUUGUAUCUUUUCUCGAGUGUGCAAAGUGACUGUUCUGUCCUUAUGCAGUUUUCUGAGCUGAGUUUCAAACGCCCCAAGCUCCCCCUCGCCCGCGUGCCCAGGAAGCCGUGGUCUGAGGCUAAUGGCCUUACACCUGCUCUUCUCUGUGGGCACCUUUUGCUUUCUCAGUUGAAUAAA